AGUGCCUACGGGGGGCUGCAGUCGCGAAACCUUUACAAUGCGCGAAAGCGCGAUAGGGGGAUUUCGAGUGCAAGCUUUGCUGGCUUUUGCCAAGCCCAAAAAGCUUGGCGAAUAAAUGGGGGGCAAGAUACGUGCCAGCCGCCGCGGUAAUACGUACUCCAUUAGUGGUAUCCACUUAUAUUGGGCCUAAAACGUCCGUAGCUCGCCUGAAAAGUCCUUGGUGAAAGCAAUCAGCUUAACUGAUUGAAUUGCCAAGGAUACUGCCAGGCUAGAGGCCGGAAGAGGUCAAGGGAAUUUCAGGGGUAGCGGUGAAAUGUUAUGAUCCUUGAAAGACCUCCAGUAGCGAAGGCGCUUGACCAGGACGGUCCUGACAGUGAGGGACGAAAGCUGGGGGAGCGACCCGGAUUAGAUACCCGUGUAGUC
This 423-nucleotide ribosomal RNA is filed under the name Salmonella enterica subsp. enterica. RNAcentral's name for it is "bacterial SSU rRNA". It matches the Rfam family "Archaeal small subunit ribosomal RNA", at positions 318 to 746 of the family's 1478-position model. The record is from RNAcentral. Lineage: Bacteria; Pseudomonadati; Pseudomonadota; Gammaproteobacteria; Enterobacterales; Enterobacteriaceae.